GACGUAGGGCGCGAGCGUUGUCCGGAUUUAUUGGGCGUAAAGAGCUCGUAGGCGGCUCGUUGCGUCGGCUGUGAAAACCCGCAGCUCAACUGUGGGCUUGCAGCUGAUACGGGCGGGCUGGGAUUCGGUAGGGGAGACUGGAAUUCCUGGUGUAGCAGUGAAAUGCGUAGAUAUCAGGAGGAACACCGAUGGCGAAGGCAGGUCUCUGGGCUGACACUGACGCUCAUGCACGAAAGCGUGGGGAGCAAACAGG
This 253-nucleotide ribosomal RNA is filed under the name uncultured bacterium. RNAcentral describes it as "partial 16S ribosomal RNA". It matches the Rfam family "Bacterial small subunit ribosomal RNA", at positions 524 to 776 of the family's 1533-position model. The record is from RNAcentral.